GGCCUGAUGGUCUAGUAGUAUGAUUCCUUGUUAGGGUGGUUCUUCACUCAUCUCGAGGAGGUCCCGGGUUCAAUUCCCGGUCAGGCCC
RNAcentral lists this transfer RNA (88 nucleotides) under Termitomyces sp. T159_Od127. RNAcentral describes it as "tRNA-Pro". It matches the Rfam family "tRNA". From Rfam's summary of the family: Transfer RNA (tRNA) molecules are approximately 80 nucleotides in length. Their secondary structure includes four short double-helical elements and three loops (D, anti-codon, and T loops). Further hydrogen bonds mediate the characteristic L-shaped molecular structure. tRNAs have two regions of fundamental functional importance: the anti-codon, which is responsible for specific mRNA codon recognition, and the 3' end, to which the tRNAs corresponding amino acid is attached (by aminoacyl-tRNA synthetases). tRNAs cope with the degeneracy of the genetic code in two manners: having more than one tRNA (with a specific anti-codon) for a particular amino acid; and 'wobble' base-pairing, i.e. permitting non-standard base-pairing at the 3rd anti-codon position. Lineage: Eukaryota; Fungi; Basidiomycota; Agaricomycetes; Agaricales; Lyophyllaceae. The record is from RNAcentral.